GCGCCUACGGGACGAAGCAGUGAGGAAUAUUGCAUAAUGGGGGGAACCCUGAUGCAGCGACGCCGCGUGAGUGAAGAAGUAUUUCGGUAUGUAAAGCUCUAUCAGCAGGGAAGAAAAUGACGGUACCUGACUAAGAAGCCCCGGCUAACUACGUGCCAGCAGCCGCGGUAAUACGUAGGGGGCAAGCGUUAUCCGGAUUUACUGGGUGUAAAGGGAGCGCAGACGGCUGUGCAAGUCUGGAGUGAAAGGCGGGGGCCCAACCCCCGGACUGCUCUGGAAACUGUAAAGCUGGCGUGCAG
This 299-nucleotide ribosomal RNA is filed under the name uncultured bacterium. RNAcentral describes it as "partial 16S ribosomal RNA". It matches the Rfam family "Bacterial small subunit ribosomal RNA", at positions 335 to 651 of the family's 1533-position model. The record is from RNAcentral.